Molecule: ribosomal RNA, 625 nt
Filed under: Lactarius sp. GAL17359
Lineage: Eukaryota; Fungi; Basidiomycota; Agaricomycetes; Russulales; Russulaceae
Description: LSU rRNA
Rfam family: Eukaryotic large subunit ribosomal RNA
Source: RNAcentral
UAAGCGGAGGAAAAGAAACUAACAAGGAUUCCCCUAGUAACUGCGAGUGAAGCGGGAAAAGCUCAAAUUUAAAAUCUGGCGGUCUUUGGCCGUCCGAGUUGUAAUUUAGAGAAGCGUCUUCCGCGCCGGACCGUGCACAAGUCUCCUGGAAUGGAGCGUCAUAGAGGGUGAGAAUCCCGUCUUUGGCACGGAUGCCUGGUGCUUCUGUGAUGCGCUCUCGAAGAGUCGAGUUGUUUGGGAAUGCAGCUCAAAAUGGGUGGUGAACUCCAUCUAAAGCUAAAUAUUGGCGAGAGACCGAUAGCGAACAAGUACCGUGAGGGAAAGAUGAAAAGCACUUUGGAAAGAGAGUGAAACAGUACGUGAAAUUGUUGAAAGGGAAACGCUUGAAGUCAGUCGCGUCGACCGAGACUCAGCCUUGCCUCGGCUUGGUGUACUUCUCGGCCCGACGGGUCAGCGUCAAUUUUGCCCCUCGGAUAAUGGCAAGGGAAAGGUGGCACCUUUACGGGUGUGUUAUAGUCUCCUGUCGCAUGCGAGGGGUGGGAUUGAGGAACUCAGCGCGCACCUUGGUGUCGGGGCUUCGGCCCACGUCACGCGCUUAGGAUGCUGGCGUAAUGGCUUUAAACGA